RNAcentral lists this ribosomal RNA (253 nucleotides) under uncultured bacterium. RNAcentral describes it as "partial 16S ribosomal RNA". It matches the Rfam family "Bacterial small subunit ribosomal RNA", at positions 524 to 776 of the family's 1533-position model. The record is from RNAcentral.
UACGGAGGGUGCAAGCGUUAUCCGGAUUCACUGGGUUUAAAGGGUGCGUAGGCGGGCAGGUAAGUCCGUGGUGAAAUCUCUGAGCUUAACUCAGAAACUGCCAUGGAUACUAUUUGUCUUGAAUAUCCUGGAGGUAGGCGGAAUAUGUCAUGUAGCGGUGAAAUGCUUAGAUAUGACAUAGAACACCGAUAGCGAAGGCAGCUUACUACAGGAUGAUUGACGCUGAGGCACGAAAGCGUGGGGAGCAAACAGG